RNAcentral lists this ribosomal RNA (253 nucleotides) under uncultured bacterium. RNAcentral describes it as "partial 16S ribosomal RNA". It matches the Rfam family "Bacterial small subunit ribosomal RNA", at positions 80 to 334 of the family's 1533-position model. The record is from RNAcentral.
UUUCUUUGCUGGCGACCGGCGCACGGGUGAGUAACACGUAUCCAACCUGCCCUUUACUCGGGGAUAGCCUUUCGAAAGAAAGAUUAAUACCCGAUAGCAUAAUGAUUCCGCAUGGUUUCAUUAUUAAAGGAUUCCGGUAAAGGAUGGGGAUGCGUUCCAUUAGAUAGUAGGCGGGGUAACGGCCCACCUAGUCUUCGAUGGAUAGGGGUUCUGAGAGGAAGGUCCCCCACAUUGGAACUGAGACACGGUCCAA